GCGAACGCUGGCGGCAGGCUUAACACAUGCAAGUCGAACGGGCAUCUUCGGAUGUCAGUGGCAGACGGGUUAGUAACACGUGGGAACGUACCCUUCGGUUCGGAAUAACUCAGGGAAACUUGAGCUAAUACCGGAUACGCCUUUUUGGGGAAAGGUUUACUGCCGAAGGAUCGGCCCGCGUCUGAUUAGCUUGUUGGUGGGGUAACGGCCUACCAAGGCGACGAUCAGUAGCUGGUCUGAGAGGAUGAUCAGCCACACUGGGACUGAGACACGGCCCAGACUCCUACGGGAGGCAGCAGUGGGGAAUAUUGGAAAAUGGGCGCAAGCCUGAUCCAGCCAUGCCGCGUGAGUGAUGAAGGCCUGAGGGUUGUAAAGCUCUUUUGUCCGGGACGAUAAUGACGGUACCGGAAGAAUAAGCCCCGGCUAACUUCGUG
RNAcentral lists this ribosomal RNA (434 nucleotides) under uncultured bacterium. RNAcentral's name for it is "partial 16S ribosomal RNA". It matches the Rfam family "Bacterial small subunit ribosomal RNA", at positions 29 to 507 of the family's 1533-position model. The record is from RNAcentral.